GGGGGGAGAAAAGGUGGGGGGAGGGCAGCCAAAAGAGUCCGGGUGGCCGCUGCUUGCUCACUGCUGUGCCUCCGUGGACGUUCGUCUUGUGAGAAUCCCUCCGCUGCCGCCGCUGCUUAUUGGCAUUGGUGGCUUGGGCGGAGGGAUACGUUGCGUGCCGCGUAGUGCUAGUGAAGAACGCGAGGGAGGAGGGGGGGGGUCGUUUGCUUGUUGGUAUUAGCGUGGACUGCUGGACACCAGCUGGUGCCUUCUUCGCUGUGGUUGCUCUUGUGGGCUCAGGCGGGGCGAAGAUUCGUGGCAGCUGCAGAGCAAGGAUUUUUCUCCUUUUACUGAGAACAUAGCCAAUCACAAGGCUGUAAACAUUAAGAAGGACCUGGCAAUGGGAUAAAUGAUCUCCAUAUUUAUUUGAAAUUUGUUGUGGUGUGAGCAGAUCUUUAUUUCUUACUGUUUCUAAGCAUCUCUGGAAUACUUUUGUAAAAUUCCUCCUUGUUCUUCACCAAGUUUCAAUCCAAUUCAGUUCAAUGCUGACUGGAUUUGCUUAUCUGUUUGCAUAAUAUAAAAUCUUUCUAUUUAUGCUUUCUUUGUGUAAUGACAAAACAUUAUUGUGUGAGAACUAAAAGUAUGACUUGUAUGAUUUGCAUCACAGAUCUGCCUAUGGCAGGGAUUCCCACACUGUCCACAACCGUCUUUCAGGUCUGUGGAUUGGUGGUUGUAAGAUGGAAGAAGGCACAGCCAUUGCAUUAAAUAUUCAUGUUGAUUUUUAA
Long non-coding RNA from Rhineura floridana, 764 nucleotides. RefSeq lists it as uncharacterized. The record is from RefSeq and is a predicted model, not a curated record. The transcript is spliced from 2 exons. NCBI's taxonomy places the organism in Eukaryota, Metazoa, Chordata, Lepidosauria, Squamata, Rhineuridae.